AUUUGAAUUCCGAAUUCAUUAAAAAAUAUAUAAAAAGUAUAGUCAAAGAAGUAUUCUCUUCAAUCCUAAUUAUUGAUCCUUUAUUGUUCUUUGUAAUCAUAUGUUAUGCCCCAAAGAGUGGUAGUAGAUAUGAAAUUGAUACUUUAACUUUGAGUGCCAAUAAUUCCUUUAUAAAAACUCCAAAUCACAUAAAAUUUGCAUCCAAUUUGUACCCAAAAUCAUAA
This 224-nucleotide long non-coding RNA is filed under the name Physcomitrium patens. Its description in RNAcentral is "long non-coding RNA (PPAT_LNC014473)". Lineage: Eukaryota; Viridiplantae; Streptophyta; Bryopsida; Funariales; Funariaceae. The record is from RNAcentral.